RNAcentral lists this ribosomal RNA (693 nucleotides) under Lactobacillus jensenii. RNAcentral's name for it is "bacterial SSU rRNA". It matches the Rfam family "Bacterial small subunit ribosomal RNA", at positions 78 to 756 of the family's 1533-position model. The record is from RNAcentral. Lineage: Bacteria; Bacillati; Bacillota; Bacilli; Lactobacillales; Lactobacillaceae.
GGACAUAGAUACAAGCUAGCGGCGGAUGGGUGAGUAACGCGUGGGUAACCUGCCCUUAAGUCUGGGAUACCAUUUGGAAACAGAUGCUAAUACCGGAUAAAAGCUACUUUCGCAUGAAAGAAGUUUAAAAGGCGGCGUAAGCUGUCGCUAAAGGAUGGACCUGCGAUGCAUUAGCUAGUUGGUAAGGUAACGGCUUACCAAGGCGAUGAUGCAUAGCCGAGUUGAGAGACUGAUCGGCCACAUUGGGACUGAGACACGGCCCAAACUCCUACGGGAGGCAGCAGUAGGGAAUCUUCCACAAUGGACGCAAGUCUGAUGGAGCAACGCCGCGUGAGUGAAGAAGGUUUUCGGAUCGUAAAGCUCUGUUGUUGGUGAAGAAGGAUAGAGGUAGUAACUGGCCUUUAUUUGACGGUAAUCAACCAGAAAGUCACGGCUAACUACGUGCCAGCAGCCGCGGUAAUACGUAGGUGGCAAGCGUUGUCCGGAUUUAUUGGGCGUAAAGCGAGCGCAGGCGGAUUGAUAAGUCUGAUGUGAAAGCCUUCGGCUCAACCGAAGAACUGCAUCAGAAACUGUCAAUCUUGAGUGCAGAAGAGGAGAGUGGAACUCCAUGUGUAGCGGUGGAAUGCGUAGAUAUAUGGAAGAACACCAGUGGCGAAGGCGGCUCUCUGGUCUGUAACUGACGCUGAGGCUCGA